Danio rerio (zebrafish) is the source of this 74-nucleotide non-coding RNA. Lineage: Eukaryota; Metazoa; Chordata; Actinopteri; Cypriniformes; Danionidae. The record is from Rfam.
GGCGCUGUGGCUUAGCUGGUCAAAGUGCCUGUCUUGUAAACAGUAGAUCCUGGGCUUGAAUCCCAGCAGCGCCU